RNAcentral lists this small RNA (119 nucleotides) under Marmota monax (woodchuck). Lineage: Eukaryota; Metazoa; Chordata; Mammalia; Rodentia; Sciuridae. The record is from RNAcentral.
GCUGGGCAUGGUGGUGUAUGCCAGUAAUCUCAGCAACUUGGGAGGCUGAGGCAAGAGGAUCGCAAAUUUGAGGCCAGCCUCAACAAGGCCGUAAGAAAUUUAGGGAGACCCUGUCUCAA